CAGCAGCCGCGGUAAUACGAAGGGGGCUAGCGUUGCUCGGAAUGACUGGGCGUAAAGGGCGCGUAGGCGGUUUGAUCAGUCAGGCGUGAAAUUCCUGGGCUUAACCUGGGGGCUGCGCUUGAUACGGUCGAGCUAGAGGAUGGAAGAGGCCCGUGGAAUUCCCAGUGUAGAGGUGAAAUUCGUAGAUAUUGGGAAGAACACCGGUGGCGAAGGCGGCGAGCUGGUCCAUUACUGACGCUGAGGCACGAAAGCGUGGGGAGCAAACAGGAUUAGAUACCCGCGUAGUCCCUGUCUCUUAUAA
Molecule: ribosomal RNA, 301 nt
Filed under: uncultured bacterium
Lineage: Bacteria
Description: partial 16S ribosomal RNA
Rfam family: Bacterial small subunit ribosomal RNA
Source: RNAcentral